RNAcentral lists this ribosomal RNA (464 nucleotides) under uncultured bacterium. RNAcentral's name for it is "partial 16S ribosomal RNA". It matches the Rfam family "Bacterial small subunit ribosomal RNA", at positions 339 to 795 of the family's 1533-position model. The record is from RNAcentral.
CUACGGGGCGCUGCAGUGGGGAAUAUUGGACAAUGGGCGAAAGCCUGAUCCAGCAAUGCCGCGUGUGUGAAGAAGGCCUGAGGGUUGUAAAGCACUUUCAGUAGUGAGGAAAUGUUUAAGGUUAAUACCCUUGAAUCUUGACGUUAACUACAGAAGAAGCACCGGCUAACUCCGUGCCAGCAGCCGCGGUAAUACGGAGGGUGCAAGCGGUAAUCGGAAUUACUCGGCGUAAAGCGCGCGUAGGCGGUUUGGUCAGUCAGAUGUGAAAGCCCCGGGCUCAACCUGGGAAUUGCAUUUGAUACUGCUAAACUAGAAUGUGGUAGAGGGAAGUGGAAUUCCAGGUGUAGCGGUGAAAUGCGUAGAGAUCUGGAGGAACAUCAGUGGCGAAGGCGGCUUCCUGGACCAACAUUGACGCUGAGGUGCGAAAGCGUGGGUAGCAAACAGGAUUAGAUACCCGCGUAGUC